Molecule: non-coding RNA, 106 nt
Filed under: Viridibacillus arenosi
Lineage: Bacteria; Bacillati; Bacillota; Bacilli; Caryophanales; Caryophanaceae
Also listed under: 1 other name
Description: SAM-I sequence
Rfam family: SAM riboswitch aptamer (S box leader)
About the family: The SAM riboswitch is found upstream of a number of genes which code for proteins involved in methionine or cysteine biosynthesis in Gram-positive bacteria.
Source: RNAcentral
UUCUUAUCAAGAGAGGUGGAGGGACUGGCCCUGUGAUAUCUCAGCAACCGCUAUUAAAGUAAGGUGCUACUUCCAGCAAGUUGAUUAAAAACUUGAUAGAUGAGGA